Molecule: transfer RNA, 74 nt
Filed under: Tepidibacillus fermentans
Lineage: Bacteria; Bacillati; Bacillota; Bacilli; Caryophanales; Bacillaceae
Rfam family: tRNA
About the family: Transfer RNA (tRNA) molecules are approximately 80 nucleotides in length. Their secondary structure includes four short double-helical elements and three loops (D, anti-codon, and T loops). Further hydrogen bonds mediate the characteristic L-shaped molecular structure. tRNAs have two regions of fundamental functional importance: the anti-codon, which is responsible for specific mRNA codon recognition, and the 3' end, to which the tRNAs corresponding amino acid is attached (by aminoacyl-tRNA synthetases). tRNAs cope with the degeneracy of the genetic code in two manners: having more than one tRNA (with a specific anti-codon) for a particular amino acid; and 'wobble' base-pairing, i.e. permitting non-standard base-pairing at the 3rd anti-codon position.
Source: Rfam by way of RNAcentral
GCGUCCUUAGCUCAGCUGGAUAGAGUGUCUGACUACGAAUCAGAAGGUCGGGAGUUCGAAUCUCUCAGGACGCG